UAUCAGAAGUGCGAAUGCUGACAUAAGUAACGAUAAAGCGGGUGAAAAGCCCGCUCGCCGGAAGACCAAGGGUUCCUGUCCAACGUUAAUCGGGGCAGGGUGAGUCGACCCCUAAGGCGAGGCCGAAAGGCGUAGUCGAUGGGAAACGGGUUAAUAUUCCCGUACUUGGUGUUACUGCGAAGGGGGGACGGAGAAGGCUAUGUUGGCCGGGCGACGGUUGUCCCGGUUUAAGCGUGUAGGUGUGUGUUCCAGGUAAAUCCGGUUCACUUUAACACUGAGGCGUGAUGACGAGGCACCACGGUGCUGAAGCAACAAAUGCCCUGCUUCCAGGAAAAGCCUCUAAGCAUCAGGUAACAUCAAAUCGUACCCCAAACCGACACAGGUGGUCAGGUAGAGAAUACCAAGGCGCUUGAGAGAACUCGGGUGAAGGAACUAGGCAAAAUGGUGCCGUAACUUCGGGAGAAGGCACGCUGACACGUAGGUGAAGUGAUUUACUCAUGGAGCUGAAGUCAGUCGAAGAUACCAGCUGGCUGCAACUGUUUAUUAAAAACACAGCACUGUGCAAACACGAAAGUGGACGUAUACGGUGUGACGCCUGCCCGGUGCCGGAAGGUUAAUUGAUGGGGUCAGCGCAAGCGAAGCUCCUGAUCGAAGCCCCGGUAAACGGCGGCCGUAACUAUAACGGUCCUAAGGUAGCGAAAUUCCUUGUCGGGUAAGUUCCGACCUGCACGAAUGGCGUAAUGAUGGCCAGGCUGUCUCCACCCGAGACUCAGUGAAAUUGAACUCGCUGUGAAGAUGCAGUGUACCCGCGGCAAGACGGAAAGACCCCGUGAACCUUUACUAUAGCUUGACACUGAACAUUGAGCCUUGAUGUGUAGGAUAGGUGGGAGGCUUUGAAGCGUGGACGCCAGUCUGCGUGGAGCCGACCUUGAAAUACCACCCUUUAAUGUUUGAUGUUCUAACGUGGACCCGUAAUCCGGGUUGCGGACAGUGUCUGGUGGGUAGUUUGACUGGGGCGGUCUCCUCCUAAAGAGUAACGGAGGAGCACGAAGGUUGGCUAAUCCUGGUCGGACAUCAGGAGGUUAGUGCAAUGGCAUAAGCCAGCUUGACUGCGAGCGUGACGGCGCGAGCAGGUGCGAAAGCAGGUCAUAGUGAUCCGGUGGUUCUGAAUGGAAGGGCCAUCGCUCAACGGAUAAAAGGUACUCCGGGGAUAACAGGCUGAUACCGCCCAAGAGUUCAUAUCGACGGCGGUGUUUGGCACCUCGAUGUCGGCUCAUCACAUCCUGGGGCUGAAGUAGGUCCCAAGGGUAUGGCUGUUCGCCAUUUAAAGUGGUACGCGAGCUGGGUUUAGAACGUCGUGAGACAGUUCGGUCCCUAUCUGCCGUGGGCGCUGGAAGACUGAGGGGGGCUGCUCCUAGUACGAGAGGACCGGAGUGGACGCAUCACUGGUGUUCGGGUUGUCAUGCCAAUGGCACUGCCCGGUAGCUAAAUGCGGAAAAGAUAAGUGCUGAAAGCAUCUAAGCACGAAACUUGCCCCGAGAUGAGUCUUCCCUGAGACCUUGAGUCUCCUGAAGGAACGUUAAAGACGAUGACGUUGAUAGGCCGGGUGUGUAAGCGCAGCGAUGCGUUGAGCUAACCGGUACUA
Molecule: ribosomal RNA, 1645 nt
Filed under: Salmonella enterica
Lineage: Bacteria; Pseudomonadati; Pseudomonadota; Gammaproteobacteria; Enterobacterales; Enterobacteriaceae
Also listed under: 1 other name
Description: partial 23S ribosomal RNA
Rfam family: Bacterial large subunit ribosomal RNA
Source: RNAcentral